Molecule: RNA transcript, 2914 nt
Organism: Octopus sinensis (East Asian common octopus)
Lineage: Eukaryota; Metazoa; Mollusca; Cephalopoda; Octopoda; Octopodidae
Gene name: conserved oligomeric Golgi complex subunit 7
Exons: 25
Source: RefSeq, a predicted model, not a curated record
GUGAAUCACGUGAUUAGACAUGGCUCGUCGUUUGUUUUGACGUGUCGGAAUCGUUGGCCGAAGAGGAAAUAAUUACAUUUAUUAAAAUUUAAGGUGUCUUAUAUAUUGUAAUUCUAUACUAUUUAGUGUGUCUUGCAUUGCAAUGUAUUAAAGUAGCUGACAAAGAUAUUUAUUUCAACCUCCAACAUGGAUUAUUCAAAAUUUUUAGAUGAGAAUUUUGAUGUGAAGGAAUGGGUGAAUGGAGCCUUCAGGUCCCAUAAAGACACUACAGUCAGUAAAGAUCAAUAUGCCACAAAUUUAGUGAUGAAAUUACAGAUGUUUAUACAAGAAGUCAAUAAUGUUAUAGAAGACUCCAGCCAGCAAGCCUUACAGAAUUUACCCAGGGUAAUGAGAGAAAUAGAAGCUGUUCGUCAAGAAGCAGCACUUCUUCAAGAUCAAAUGAGACUAGUCAAACAAGAUAUUCAAAAGGUUGAACAGGACACCUCUCAGUCCAUGCAGACCCUCUUGAAACUUGAUGGCAUAAAAUCUCGGAUGAAAGCAACUUCUGAUGCUCUCAAGGAAGCUGACAAUUGGACAACUCUUUCUGCAGAUGUUGAAGAAGUUUUUCUAUCUCAAGACAUCCAGGCUAUAACAGCCAAACUUGUUGGGAUGCAGCAGAGUUUGCAAAUGCUGGUUGAUACCCCAGAUUACCAACAGCGUUGUCAGCAUCUGGAAAAACUUCAAAAUAAGUUGGAGACCCUACUAAGUCCUCAAGUUGUAGCUGCAUUUAAUGCACAGUCACUAGAAGCUACACAGACUUAUGCAAAGAUAUUUGAGGACAUCAAUCGCUUGGGUCAGUUGUACAAAUAUUAUCACAAGUGUCAGAAGGUUCAACUGAUUAAUCACUGGAAGAAUAUUCUGGACACCAAUUCUGAUGACACAUUCUUAGAAUGGCUUACAUCAUUUUACGAUCAUCUGUUGUCUACUUGGCAUGGACAGAUAAAAUGGUGCAGUCAAGUAUUUCGAGAUCCUGUACCUAUUCUCUGUGACCUUUUCACAGAAGUCAUCAAGGACCUUGACCCAAGUUUGGAUGAUUGCCUUUCUGUAUAUAUUGACGAGCAGGGUUCUAAUGUCACCUUAAUUAGUCUUAUCAACUUGAAACAGGUUUCUGAAAGAUUUUCCAAAAGUAUUGAGUCUGCUGUGGAAUAUUGUAUGUCAGAUAAUCCAGAACAUGCAGUAAGUCUCCUGGAUCUACAGAAGAGUAUAUAUGCUGUCUACCAGCCAUAUCUGAGCAAAUAUAAACAUUUUGAAGAGGUUGCCCUUCAGUGUGAGCUUGAUAACAUCAGACUGGAUCAUGAGGAAAUUGUUGAUUCUAUUGGUUUACUUGGAGAAUCUGUCAGCAAGCUGAUGUCUUCUGCUAAAAAGGCUAAUGAGAGGUGUAUCCAGUUUACUGAUGGCUUUGGAUAUCUGUACUUAUUGGAAGCCCUAAAGAUGUUCUAUAUCAGUUACUGCCGAGAGUUCAAGAGAGUUCUGUCAAAUGUAAGGGCUAAGUGUUAUAUUGGUCGACAGCAGGAAGAUUUUGAAGAUUGGUCUUUAUUUCAACAAUCCUUACGGAUGAUUCAAAUCUGUGGCGAGUUGAUCAUACAAACUGAAGAACUUGAUAAAACCCUCAUCAACAAUAUCAUCUCAACCUUAGGCAAGUACUUCUUACCCAGUCAGCAUUCACCACUGAAAGAAACUACUGAUAAAAAGACUGGCAAGAAAGUGUCUCUCUUCCAGCGCCAUGCUUCCCUUUUGCUGGAAGAUGAAGCAGAUAUAGAAAUUCUUGAAGAGUUUGUCUUGAAACUUGAGGAAGGUGAUACACCGUCAGUGUUGUCUGAUGUUACCAAGGAAAUGUUCAAACUCAGUCAGGAAGUGCACAAGUUUGGUUUUGAUAUUGUUUUUGCUCAGCUCAAGAAACAUCUCAUUGGAAUGGCCAACAUGGAGGUGUGGACAUCCCUGAGUGCUGGAACAGCCAUAACCUCUGACCUUCCUGCAUUUAGUCUUUCACCUCAAGAAUACAUCACAAAGGUUGGUCAGUACUUAAUGACCUUACCACAGUUAUUGGAACCGUAUAUAAUCCAAGACAAUCAAGCAGUCACUGUAGCAUUGCAGCAUGGGCGUUUGCCAUACACUGAAGAUCAAGACAUUCCUGAACACAGUGCUGAUUUGUGGCUGCAGUCUAUUGCUCGAGGAACAAUGUUUUUGUAUUCAGAAGAAAUCCUGAAGAUUUAUGAACUCAGUCCGCAUGGCACCAAACAACUUGUCACAGAUCUUGAUUAUUUAUGCAAUGUUUUGGAUGACCUCGGUCUAAGUGCAGAACAAAUGCAUGACAUCAAGCAGCUGUUGAAAGCUGAACCAGAUGAAUUCCGGCCUCUUGCCAGUCGAAUGCCUCAAAGACUGGCCAAUGUGAUAAGUCAGAUGAGAAACAUUGAGCUGUGAUAACAGACCGUAUGCUCCAGGAUACUUCAUAACAAAUUGUUGGUUUUAUUUAUUUUUGAGUGUAUGUGCAUGUAUAUAUAUAUAUAUAUAUAUAUAUAUAUAUAUAUAUAUCCCUGUUAGGAGGCACAAGCAAUAACACAUACAUGUACACACAGUGAUAACUUCCGCCUACCAAAUUCAGUUACAAGGCUUUGGUCAGCCACACGCAUUUACACAUGUACAAACAAGAAAAGGGCAUGAUACACUAUGUAGAGUUCAUAUUUGUAAUGGAAUAGUUGGUAACUCACUUGGCCACUCAGUUUCAUGGACACUAAACCAGGUGCCUUGUUGACCAAAUACCCAUGAUGGUUACACACAAGUUUUCGUUUCUAUAACAUUCUGAAUAACAGCCAUAUAGAUUUUCAAACCAAGGUUACUUAUUACCUCAGUUUAAAUAUAUGGAAAAAAAAAAACA